This 1422-nucleotide ribosomal RNA is filed under the name Triticum aestivum (bread wheat). RNAcentral describes it as "partial small subunit ribosomal RNA". Lineage: Eukaryota; Viridiplantae; Streptophyta; Magnoliopsida; Poales; Poaceae. The record is from RNAcentral.
AUGCAGGGGGGUUCGGUUGGAGAUGGCAGGAGGGAAAAGCCCUCCUCUAUUAUUGGCACCAGCGGCGGCGAUGACUCAGAUCUGCGGCUGCAACGGCGGAGUCGGCGUUGGUGGCGGCAUCAUCACUCCCCGGCAGCGGCAGCUUCUUAUCCCCUUCUUCUUCGACUCCGCCCGAGCGUCCUCGUCUCGGCCAUGUCUCCCCCGACCCCGAAGCUGGUAAGCUACCCCCCCCCCUCCUCUGUUAGGUCGUUUGGAUCGGAGAGGAUAGCCAAUCUGAAGUACAUCUACAAUUGCAACAACACUGAGGCUCAGUGGAUGCUUCGAAUGAAAAGAGCACCUUUCGCCAGUCUUGUGCAGAUGUUCAGGAGCAGGGGACUGCUAGAAGAUAGUAUCCACACCACUAUGGAAGAACAAGUAGUCAUGUUCCUCCAUGUUAUUGGUCAUAGCCAGAGGUUCAGGGUUGUACACAACACCUUCAGGAGAUCAAUGGAGAUCAUCUCCAGGUACUUCAAGCAAGUGGUGUAUGCUAUUGGGGAACUCAGAGGAGAGAUGAUCGUGUCACCAACUAGCCGGACUGCAACCAAGAUUCGCACUAGCCCAAGAUGGUAUCCAUACUUCAAGGAUUGCAUAGGGGCAAUAGAUGGUACUCAUGUCACUGCCAGUACGCCGAGGUCACAAGUUGUAGCAUAUAGAGGGAGGAAGCACUACACAAGUCAAAAUGUGCUUGCUGUUGUUGACUUUGAUCUGAAGUUCACACAUGUGCUGGCUGGCUGGGAAGGAUCCGCACAUAAUUCUAACAUUCUCAGUGACAACAUAAGUCAUCAUGAUGGCAUCAAUAUCCCCGAUGGCAAGUUCUACCUAGGAGAUGUUGGCUAUGCAUGUCGUCCAGGUGUUCUUCCACCCUUCAGGAAAACCAGGUACCAUCUGAACGAGUUCUCUGGUAGGAACUAUCUUAGGACUCCUUCAAAACUGUUCAACCUCAGACACUCCAACCUUAGAGUAACGGUUGAGAGGGCAUUUGGAGCUCUGAAGAAUAGGUUUAAGAUCCUGGAUCAGAAGCCAUUCCACCCUUACCCUACCCAGGAGGAAGAGGCGACUCCUGAUGAGGUGAUCAGCUCCGGCCAUGGUAUGGAGGCGUUUGACAAUGAAGCAUGGAAGAACAAAAGGUCCAACCGGGACAAGCAUGCAAAAUGCCCUACACAGAAAUGUGAACCGAACGCACCCUUGGAGGCGCUCUUUAUUCACAUCCGAGAAUUCAAGAAAAGAAGAGAAAAGAAAAUUUCCCCUCGGGGGUCGGUGCCACGCCCUUCGCACACCCCCAUGGAGCACUCCAUUAUUCAGUUUGGGGUCUUGCUUGCUUGUCCGGCAUGGGUUACCCAAAGUAGCGGCUGCCGGGUCCCGCAUGUGCAUAGAUAUGUUUGA